Molecule: long non-coding RNA, 187 nt
Organism: Sphaerodactylus townsendi
Lineage: Eukaryota; Metazoa; Chordata; Lepidosauria; Squamata; Sphaerodactylidae
Exons: 3
Source: RefSeq, a predicted model, not a curated record
UGUCAUUUACAUCUUUUGAAACUAGGGCCAGGCUUUUGACUCUUCUUCCUGGUAAGUUUAAGGAAUACUCUAUUGCCGGGAAGGUUGCAUCCCUACUAAACAACUCUUCUUCUGUGAUUUUAAAUUCUGUAUCUAGGUUCCUUUUAGGAACUUUGGAAUAAUACCUGUGGUGGUUUCAUGUAUGGAA